RNAcentral lists this long non-coding RNA (1394 nucleotides) under Vulpes vulpes (red fox). RNAcentral's name for it is "lncRNA (ENSVVUG00000008666.1)". The record is from RNAcentral. Lineage: Eukaryota; Metazoa; Chordata; Mammalia; Carnivora; Canidae.
AGAAAUCAAGACUCCAGAGACAUGGUGGGACAAAUGGAAACAAAACUUCACGUUAUUUGAAAUGUCCCAGUCUACCAGGGCUGGUCUUUCUAACACUUCAGAGAUCUCUGUACUCCCCUGUGGCUCUGUAUGACUCUUCUUCACAUCCCUUUAGCUUGUGCAAUGAGCAAGCUUUAAAACGGCAUUUCCAGCUGAGAUCCUGAGAUGAUUUUUAAAGCUGCUGGGAUGUGGCCGGCUGUUUGUGCUUCAGAACUGCCAAAGCAUGUGUAUGAGUUAUUUCUAAGGGACAGAAUAGGAAUGGAGAAUUAAGUGUGCACAUUCUUCAAAACAAUGGAAAAGUCCACACACAGACAACAAGGAAUGAGUAUGUGAGUGUGCUUAUACAUGUAUGUGUAUAUGUGGAUGGGUGUGGGUAUGUGUACGUUUCUGUGUCUGCACGUGCAUGUACAUACAUGGUGUUCAUGUAUAAGUGUAAAUGUGUAUGUGCAUGUUUGCAUCCACACAUGAGAUCCAGUGUUCCUGUUUAUAUCCUAGGGAAAUUCUGGAGCAGAGCGCUGGGGGAAAUUAGAAGUCUUUGCAGUGGAAGGCCUGGCUCCUGGAUGAGUGCACUGCCAAGCAUAUGUGAUGAUGUGUCCACCAUUGAGAAGAUGAAAUAUCCUCUUGCCAACACUGAUGACUAUAUGGGAUAGUUGGAUAGCAGUAGAGAGAAGUGGCUGAGAUUCUACUUGUUUCUGUAAGGAGAUAUACCUGAGUCCUGGACUCAUAGCUCACUGGGUUUGUGAUCCUGUCUCAUCAUCUAUGGCUUAUCAAGUAUGCCUACCUUAUGUGGUCUUUGCGAGAACUAAUUGAAAGUGCAGUUGAUAAUACAUAAAAAACACAACAUUGUUGUGAUAUUGUGAUUUGGUUUUCAUCCCCAUUUCUGGCCCAGAGCUCCUAAAAGGCUUGGAAUUCCUAAAUAAUGAGUGUGAUAAGCAUGUCUUGAUAUUCAUAACAAACACUUUUCAACCUCACCUGAAUUUAUGUUAAUGAGGUGAUUUUUUUUGGAAAGCCCCUUGAUAACCACAGGAUGGGGGCUGGUUGCUGGGGAAGUAAACCAAGUGAUUAAUACUGGAAUUUUGUAUCAACCUCCUGACCUCAGAAGUGUGGAGAGGUGCUGGCAAUUGAGUCAGUCACCAAUAGCUAAUGAUUUAAUGUCUGUGUAAUGAAACCUCCAUAAAUCCCCAAACGGAUGGGGUUUGAAAAGCUUCCGGGUUGGUGAACCAGAACACAUCUAUGUGCUUUUAGCUCCAGCUUCAUGGAAACAGCUCCUAUGUAGACCUCCAUUUGACUAUUUAUUUGUAUCCUUCAAUAUCCUUUGCAAUAAACUGGUAAUUUAGUGAGUAAAAUGUUUCUCA